ACUCAAAUGAAUUGACGGGGGCCCGCACAAGCGGUGGAGUAUGUGGUUUAAUUCGAUGCAACGCGAAGAACCUUACCUGCUCUUGACAUGUCAGGAACCUUACAGAGAUGUAGGGGUGCCGCAAGGAGCCUGAACACAGGUGCUGCAUGGCUGUCGUCAGCUCGUGUCGUGAGAUGUUGGGUUAAGUCCCGCAACGAGCGCAACCCUUGUCCUUAGUUGCCAUCAUUUAGUUGGGCACUCUAAGGAGACUGCCGGUGACAAACCGGAGGAAGGUGGGGAUGACGUCAAGUCCUCAUGGCCCUUAUGAGCAGGGCUACACACGUACUACAAUGGUCGGUACAGAGGGUCGCCAACCCGCGAGGGGGAGCUAAUCCCGAAAAGCCGAUCGUAGUCCGGAUCGGAGUCUGCAACUCGACUCCGUGAAGUCGGAAUCGCUAGUAAUCGCGGAUCAGCAUUGCCGCGGUGAAUACGUUCCCGGGCCUUGCACACACCGCCCGU
This 498-nucleotide ribosomal RNA is filed under the name uncultured bacterium. Its description in RNAcentral is "partial 16S ribosomal RNA". It matches the Rfam family "Bacterial small subunit ribosomal RNA", at positions 899 to 1397 of the family's 1533-position model. The record is from RNAcentral.